Molecule: long non-coding RNA, 1603 nt
Filed under: Marmota monax (woodchuck)
Lineage: Eukaryota; Metazoa; Chordata; Mammalia; Rodentia; Sciuridae
Source: RNAcentral
GAAAAAGCCAUUUGACAUCCAUGGUGGUGGCUCUCUGUAUUAGGAAGGAGCAUCCCAAAUCAUCAACCAAGUGGGUGAUCAGACACCAUGGAGGCUUAGUUAAACUGAGGAUGUGUCCAGCCACCUCCCUCUCUGCAUUGUCACACCAAAAAGAAUCGUGUAGGAGGAAUCCAUGGAAUGGGAGAGUGGUCCUGACCACUGUCUCCCCAUGGUCAUGACUGGGGAAAGGGUCAGAGGUGCUCCCCAGUAGUUAGUUAAAAUAAAGGGAAGAGGCCACGCAGCUCUCCAGUGUGCCUGGGAAACUCUUGGUUCGGUAGAUCUGAUGGUGCCUGCAGAGCCUUCACUCCCUGUGCUUCUCCAGGCAGUCUGGGUGCUACAGAGGAGGAUCACUUUUACGAGAACCUGUCACUCAGCUUUGCUCUGCUAAUCUGAUGAGGAACCUGCUUUGGAAGGACCAUCUCUAUUGAUAAAUGUACCCUGGAGAAAUGCUGAAUGACAUGAUCCCACUAGAUGAGUGUUCUCCAAACAUUUUUGACCAUGAUCCACAGGAAGAUAUACAUUUUACCCCACAGCAUGGUAAAAUACAUUUGUACGUGAAAACUGAAACCUAGCUUUGGAGACACCAAACCAACUACUACUUAGUGUGGGAUAUUUAUUUGUACCCUGUCCUGUUCUUUUUGACUCGGUUUCACUUUCUUUUUGUUGUUGUUAACCAGAGUGCUUAACCAUUUGGCUGCAUCUCCAUGCCUUUUUAUUUAUUUGUUUGUUUAUUUUUUAUUUUGAGACAGAGUCUCUCUAAGUUGCUGAGGCUGGGUUUGAACUUGUGAUCCUCCUGCCUCUACUUCCUGAGCCAUUGGAUUUACAGGCAUGCGCUAGCAUGCUGUUUUUUAUUUUAAAUAAGGACACAGAGACUCACUAAACUGAUCCAGUUAUGAAUCUCAACUGCUGCUUCUGAGAAUCAAAUGCUUCUGAGACUUCUCAUAGCUGUUUGUUGAGUGUCUAGGACUUUGCUUCCUGUGUGGGCAGGUCUAUUAGGGAGUAGUUAUGAUUUGGAUAUGAAGUGUCUCCCCAAAUCUCCUGUUUUAAUGCAGGAAUAUUCAGAGGCGAAAUGAUUGGACUUAUCAGUCUAUUCUAGUUUCAUGAACUAACUAGGUAGUAACUGUAGGCAGGUGGGGCAUGACUGGAGGAGAUAUGUCUUUCCUGCAGCCCCUCACCCUCUCUCUGCUUCCUGGCCAUCCAUGAGUGAUGCAGCUUCCCUCUAACACAUUCUUCUGUGAUGAUGUUCUGCCUCACCUGGGACCCAGAGCAAUGGAGCCAGCAGACCGUGGACUAAAGCUCUGAAACUGUGAGCCAGAAUAAAAUUUGCUUCCUCUAAGUUGUUCUUGUGAGGUAUUUUUGCCAUAUUUGGUGAAAAACUGACUAACAGUAGAGUCUUGGGCCAAAGUUGGCCCAAUAUUGAGGAGGUCCCAUGUUUCUCAGUAAGACUGCCUUAGUGUGCCUACUGUGCUCAGCCAUUGGUUAGGAGCAAGCACGAGUCAUGGUGACAUGUCAGUGGAGGUCAAUCUUAGAGCUGGACCUUAGAGCACACGGUGGGGCCCUUGAC